Molecule: ribosomal RNA, 254 nt
Filed under: uncultured bacterium
Lineage: Bacteria
Description: partial 16S ribosomal RNA
Rfam family: Bacterial small subunit ribosomal RNA
Source: RNAcentral
UACGUAGGGGGCAAGCGUUGUCCGGAUUUAUUGGGCGUAAAGAGCUCGUAGGCGGCUUGGCAAGUCGGGUGUGAAACCUCCAGGCUCAACCUGGAGACGCCACUCGAGACUGCUAUGGCUAGAGUCCGGUAGGGGACCACGGAAUUCCUGGUGUAGCGGUGAAAUGCGCAGAUAUCAGGAGGAACACCGGUGGCGAAGGCGGUGGUCUGGGCCGGCACUGACGCUGAGGAGCGAAAGCGUGGGUAGCAAACAGG